AUUUAUGACCUGCUUUUUUUUUUGGAAAAGCAGAAGAAACCCAAAUUAUAAUCCAUAAGGUAUUCACCUGAGCACAUGCUGACUUCAUGCUUUCAGGAAUGAAAUGCCUAACUCACCGGAUCGACUUGGGUCAGAGAUACUGAUAAACCUCUCAUGCCUUGAAAUUGCAGUGGAAAGCAAGUUCAGCCACUUGCCGCUUGAGAAGCCGAAUACACAAGAGGUG
RNAcentral lists this long non-coding RNA (223 nucleotides) under Homo sapiens (human). RNAcentral's name for it is "HSALNT0342020". Lineage: Eukaryota; Metazoa; Chordata; Mammalia; Primates; Hominidae. The record is from RNAcentral.